UUCUUCCCUCUCUCUCUCUCUUUCUCCCUCUCUCGCUUCAGUAUCUUACUAGCUGUAGCUCUCGCUCACUGCUAGUGCUAUUAUAAUUUCUGAACUCGUUGUUCGUUUUUGAUAUCUGCGCUGCUUCUUCUUCUUUUUUUUUUUUUUUUUUUUUUCUAUGGAGAACAAAGCAAGGAACUAGUUUUAAUAAACGUUGUGGGGCUUUUGUAGUCAUAGGACCCUUAGCUGGCACAUCUAUCGCGCAGGAUCAACUGAGAAGAAGUUAUUUCUGUCUAACAGUGAUCUUAAAUGAGUUUAGGUAUACGCUUCUCGAGUUAUGGGUCUUAAGCAGUAACAGUACCCUUAGCUGGCACAUUGAUGGCGGAUGACACAUGUAUCAACCGAUAAGAGGUUGCUUCAGUUUAACUAAUGGUGUUAAUUUUGAAAGCUGGGUUCGAGAUUACCUAGUGGAAUAUGUGUCCUUAGUUGGCUUGUAGAAGCCAUAUGGAGCAACAGUCGUUGUUUAUGUUUUGUUGCUUUGUUUGAUCUGCCAGAUCCUUAUCCCCUUGGCUGUUUAACCAUUGGUUGAAAACAUGAAUACACCUCGCAGAAUAGUCUUUAUAAGUUAGCAGCAAAUAUGUGUUUGCAAGAAUGAGAUUGGGACAUGACGCACAGCUUUUUUUCGAAGGGGCACGAGAAAAAGGAAAGGGAAACCCUAACACUUCUCUCUCUCUUUCUCUGGAUUGGUGUUUAUGCAUGACUGUGCUGAAUCUCGCUGCUCGCUGUUAAUGUAUGCGACUUUCUUUGUGUGCUUUCACUGUUAGACUGUGAUCCAUCCUUCUUUCGUCAUAUGAGGAAAAAAAAAGUUUGGUUGUUUGGUCAUUCCGGGAUAGUAAUGCUGUUUGAACCUUUCACCUUUUCAGUUUCUUCUUUAUACGGGUCUUUGAAGUAAUUGCUAGCUCCUAUGGACUUGUGUGGUUUGUUUUUUUUGGCCUUGGAGUUGUUCUCCCCGCACGCUUUUUUUUCCUUCUAAUUUUUUAAAUUCUAUUUUUUUUAUGCUUUUCCUCCUCUUGAAUGUCAAGUUUGACAACAGUCUUCUGCAUUUGGCUCUCGAAUUUUGACAUUGAAGAUGUUGUCAAUGACAUCUUAAAUAGUGGCCUCGAUUGAAGACACUGAGCAAACCAUAGAUAAUGCUUUUCAAACACCAUAAGUUGUUUUUCGUACUACACCUUCCAGCUCACCCAUUUGUAUUGGUUUAUUAGCGCAUGCCUACAGCCUACUUUGAACUAGUUGUGUUGAAAAACUUUAGCGCAAAAUUCAUUCCAGUAAUGCUAUGCCUUCUUGUGGAUGCUAAACGGGUUAUGAACUGUGACUGAUAGCCCGCAGUCGAUUAACAACGCCCGACUUAUGUAUUGGUUAGCUAAUUGUUAGAGAACAAUUCUUCUGUAAUAAUAGGUUUGUUUUAUUUUACUUAAGUCAGUCAAAAAACAAAUGCAGGCAGCGAGAAUUUUGAAGCCGUAGUUAUACUUGCUUUGCCUGCUAAAUUUUAUUUCUAUUUUUUUUUUGUAAUAUAUCAUAUUCAAAUUCUUAUCUAAUUAUAAUGUGGCUAACUUGUGACUUAAAUUAGAGGCUGAGAAGGUAGAUGCCUAGGCCUAAAUUAUAUUAUAUCUCUGGAAGAAUGUAGCUGAAAUGGUAUCUAAGAUUUGUAGUAGUAUAAACUAGAAGAUUAUAGUAUAUAGCGUGUGAUUCAUGUAUGUUUAAAUUAUUUUAUCGCUGUGGAAGGUUGUAGCAGAAGUGCUGUCUAAAAUUUAUGGCAGUGGACGGUAGAAAAUGUUAUUUAUCUAACAUGUCAUUGAUCAAUCUGAACAACGCGUUUCCCAUAUACUAGUAAUAACUUGUAAGCUUCACUAGUUGUGAUGAACUACCUUCUUUGUUCCAGCACACAUGAAGCUUACACGUUGAAGACUUAUUAUGAGAAUAACGUUAUUUAAAUAUUAUACCUUCUAGGAGUAAUGCACUAGUACCCAUUUUGGAUUAGAUGGACAUGAUCUGACAGUAAUGGCAUGCAAUGAUUCUGCUUUCAUACUUUACUAAUUUAUGUAUCAAGUUCCAAUAGAGCACAGGUGAUGCAUGUUGUUGGGAGAUAAAAAAAUGCUCAUUGGGAAUUGUCUACGGGGCUGAUAGUCUGUCUGGAGCUAAAGUACUCUGAUUUUUCUAAAAUAAAUGGAGUUAAGUUGCUUUGGGUUAUCCUGUUGUUAGUAAAAUUAGAAAGAGGAAUGAGCUCAGCAUUAAUUAAGUUAGAUUAUCCUCGUGUGUGCUUUCGUUCCAGAAAAUUAAAUUUGCGAGUUUACUGUGAGAUCGUCCCAGACGACUUGAACAUCUAGUGUGAUUUCUAGAUGAUCCCUUCAAAUAAAAGUUUACUCAAUUAUGCUUCUAAAUGGGUUUGAACUUUGUGAUAUACUGCACUCUGAUUUGUGUUUUUUGGGCAAAAGCUUGAUGGAUGGAUGUGUUGCUCAUAGUA
Molecule: long non-coding RNA, 2500 nt
Organism: Vigna radiata var. radiata (mung bean)
Lineage: Eukaryota; Viridiplantae; Streptophyta; Magnoliopsida; Fabales; Fabaceae
Exons: 2
Source: RefSeq, a predicted model, not a curated record